Molecule: unclassified non-coding RNA, 300 nt
Filed under: uncultured Onygenales
Lineage: Eukaryota; Fungi; Ascomycota; Eurotiomycetes; Onygenales
Description: sequence contains 5.8S rRNA gene, ITS2
Rfam family: 5.8S ribosomal RNA (bases 1-80)
Source: RNAcentral
AAGAGACAGGUGAGUCAUCGAAUCUUUGAACGCACAUUGCGCCCCCUGGUAUUCCGGGGGGCAUGCCUGUCCGAGCGUCAUUACUGCCCUCAAGCGCGGCUUGUGUGUUGGGCCUCGUCCCCCCGGGGACGUGCCCGAAAGGCAGUGGCGGCGCCGUGUCCGGUCCUCGAGCGUAUGGGGCUUUGUCACCCGCUCUGGAGGCCCGGCCGGCAGCCGCCGACCCAACCCCAAAUUUUUUACCGGUUGACCUCGGAUCAGGCAGGGAUACCCGCUGAACUUAAGCAUAUCAAUAAGCGGAGG